GGAUUAGAUACCCGGGUAGUCCACGCCGUAAACUAUGGAUGCUAGCUGUUAGAAGUAUCGACCCUUCUAGUAGCGAAGCUAACGCGUUAAGCAUCCCGCCUGUGGAGUACGAGCGCAAGCUUAAAACAUAAAGGAAUUGACGGGGACCCGCACAAGCGGUGGAGCGUGUUGUUUAAUUCGAUGAUAAGCGAAGAACCUUACCCAGGCUUGACAUCCUUGGAAUUUCUGCGAAAGCAGAGAGUGCUUUUAGAACCAAGUGACAGGUGAUGCAUGGCCGUCGUCAGCUCGUGUCGUGAGAUGUUUGGUUAAGUCCAUCAACGAGCGCAACCCUUGUAGUUAGUUGUAUUUUUCUAGCUAGACUGCCCUGGUAACAGGGAGGAAGGAGGGGAUGAUG
Molecule: ribosomal RNA, 394 nt
Filed under: uncultured bacterium
Lineage: Bacteria
Description: bacterial SSU rRNA
Rfam family: Bacterial small subunit ribosomal RNA
Source: RNAcentral